UAACCGACCCAAGCAGCCGCACUUCCAGACUAACCACGUCGGAGGACCUUUCGGGUAACCGGGGGGUUAGGGGUGUCGGCGGGCGGGCGUGGAGAGGGCGGAGGCCAGGAGGGAAGAGAGUCGGCGGUGGGGUGCUUGGGAUCGGCACGGGAGGACGUAGACAGGAGGAGGGGGAAGGACCAGGCAGGGUUCGGGGAGGAGCAGAGUACUCGAUCGGCUCCUUUUCUCCCCACUGCGCUGCUGGACCAGCAGCCGGCCACCCCUCGGAGCAUCUCCGCCACCGCCUCUGCUGGGAUCUACCACGGGGCCGGUUCUAGACCUGUCCCACGGAGUUGGAGCAGAAGGAGAAGGUGGAUGAGCGACUAUCUCUCUGCCGUCGUCGCCACCCUCCUCGGAUCCGCAUCUCCUCUCUUCACCUGCUCCCCCCACGUUUCCGUCCUCUACCCCCAGCGGCCUACUCGUGUCAGCGUGUCCCGGACUAGGGCGGCGACGAUCUCGUCUCACCUCCUGGUGUACCGGGCUACCCCACCGACCCUCGCACGCCUAAGACCGAGGGUUCGUCCCUUACGUCACCACGACCGGAGAGGAGAGGGACGCGGAAACAGGACGCAGCAGUGAUGGCGGUGCCGGAAAGAGCGGUAACUGGAGGGGUUCACGAAGAGAGGUGUUUACCACGGCGGUACAGGUCUAGUUAAGUUCGCGGUCCUUUCAUGUUGUGCACGUAUUGAACAAACUCCUUUAAGGUAGACCUUCGUUAUAAACUAGUACUGAACACAAGAACUACGAAGUAGACGCCGAUCGACUGAUGUUGUAGUGUAUACAUUUCCCUUUGGUAGCAUUCUUUGUGUCUACUUUAACCACCAAGUACCUCUGGGUUCCACGUGACUGUCUUCUAUAGUCUCCUCGUCUCCUUUUACGUUCACACAUACACACUUUUUAAUAACGAAAUUGAGUUCUAGUCAACAAGCAAGAAAGUUCGCGAUACAACGAAUGAGUUUACAAACACCGCUAACAUAGGAACACGGUACUUAUAAAAAAUGAAUCGUCUAGUUAUAUUUGUAUAACCGAUAGAUAAAUGGUUAAGACUUAAAUUUCGUGAAAUAAAAUACCGGAAGUCAUUUUCAAGUCAGUAACAACCGACCUUCUGUAGAAGUUAUGCGGCAGUUGUGCUCGAAUGGUUCCAUUACUAGAUAAAUAAUAGUCGGGUAUAGACCAAACAUUGUCCCAAUAAUACAAAGUUUUAGGAGACCGUAGUCUUUCCUCUAAAACACCUACUACAUUCUAUAGGUGUACAACAUAUACACCUUUUUGGUUUCCGAGCCCUACAACUAAAAAGCCUACUUUACUAAAUAGUCCGUUUUUGAUGUUCACUUUACCUUCUUCAUUGCGAGUUUUCGGACUUAUCUUAAGGAACCGUUUCCCAUCUACAAUCGAAGUUCUCUUCAUCUGUUACCUAAAAACGGGUAUCGUGGUAAGUCCAGGUCAACAGCAACGGAAGUGAACGAAACAGCAAAUGGGUAGACAGUCGAGCGGCUAGGGGACUGAACGACAGUUCAACUCUAGCUCCUCUCUCGUUCGGCAACGUCUCCUCUCCCCUAUGCUCCCACCCGCCUCCAGUCCGUAACGAUUGUCUAAACGCCGCCUCACCCUCUCCACUGCGGCCGGCCGGCCGCGGAGUGGUGGCCGAGGACAAACCGCCACCGUUUCUCUUCCCACGGCUCCUACACAACGAGAUACGUACCGACAACUUCAUGUAGUAGCAAUACUACACAUACCAAAGAGAUAAAAGUCGGGAUGACGAGGUCUAGGGUUUAGGGUACUGGUACGGGGGUGGAGAGGAAGCAACUUACUUCCCUCAGACCAACGAUUUUUCACUGAAAAGAAUUAGUCAUACAUACCGGGGAGACGUGUACGGCAAAGAAGCAUAAAUUCUCCGGGAGUUCGAAACAGUCAAAAGACUAUCUAUACCUUAAAAUUAAACUAUCAGGGUUGUUGCCACCCAUGACUACCUCGAUAGAUAAUAAAUAACAGUUAGACAUUAUGAAAACAGUCGAAGAUCGUACACCAACGAGAUGGUCUCACGUUAAAAGAGACGCACCGUAUGUGGUCAAUGGUAAUCAACUAUACAAACAACUUCAAAAUAAUGUUCAAUUUAUUUACACAUCACACCGUUUGACUAAUAAUAUUAAACUAUUACAGUCCGCGGCUACCGAAAUAUCUAUACAUUUAUUUUAUGGAAAUUCAUUUUGAUUCGUAAAUUAAUAACAAUACAAUACGAUAACUAAAGUGGACUGAAAUACAGCCGGCUAAUCAAGACUUCCUAAGGUGUAGCCGAUUAAAUCUAAUAAAAUGAUCUCAUAAUCUUCUUCAAGGACUAUAUACAUGAAUCUCGUAAACGACUCUAAACUACGUUUUAUAACUACUGGUCCGUAAUAUGACGCGUAUUCGUGUUAAAAAAUCAAAAAUAAAAAUAACAACGUCGUCGAAAAGAUAUCGUUAUCGGUUUAUCACACUGUAUUGUGAUAAGGUAAAAGUGUCCGGUAUUGUGUAGAAAUGUACAUUCAAACAAGAGAUCUAUCAAGAGAAAGGUUCUAAAAGUAUAGUAUAAACAGCACCCUAGACUGACGAAAUGGUAUAAAAGUACCACACCUGCUACAAUAUCUCACUCGAUGGUAGUGAAGAGUAAUGACUGACAUUAAUUAUAUAUACACAAAUACGGUAUUUUCUACCUGUAAACAGCUUAGGUAACAGCACGUACAUUAAUGAACGUCUAGUUGAUAUAUCAAAACAAGCCUAACAUUUCACCUUUGCUAUUUUGGGAUGUUGAGUACACACUAACAGAAAACUAAUAAAUGAAGGAGUUCAUUAUACCUAUACCACGACGCUCCUAUAAUUCAUAUAAGUACUUCAACAUAUUUAGUGCAAGAUGCUAAGUGAAGACAAUACGUAUAAAUGAAAGGUCAAAAUCCUGGCUCUAGGUAGGUAACAUUACUUAAACCAACAUACCCGUAAUGGAUAAACUGAAUCCAAACGAAGUAGUGUAUAUCUGACGAAAAGAAAAGGGG
This 3065-nucleotide ribosomal RNA is filed under the name Triticum aestivum (bread wheat). RNAcentral describes it as "partial small subunit ribosomal RNA". Lineage: Eukaryota; Viridiplantae; Streptophyta; Magnoliopsida; Poales; Poaceae. The record is from RNAcentral.